This 2392-nucleotide ribosomal RNA is filed under the name human gut metagenome. RNAcentral describes it as "bacterial LSU rRNA". It matches the Rfam family "Bacterial large subunit ribosomal RNA", at positions 618 to 2884 of the family's 2925-position model. The record is from RNAcentral.
CGUCGGCAGCGUCAGAUGUGUAUAAGAGACAGGUGUGGCGUAUGCGUAGCGAAAGCGAGUCUUAAAAGGCGUUUGUAGUCGCUUGUCCUGGACCCGAAGCGGGAUGAUCUAGCCCUGGGCAGGUUGAAGCGCGGGUAAGACCGCGUGGAGGACCGAACCCACCUGGGUUGAAAACCGGGGGGAUGACCUGGGGCUAGGGGUGAAAGGCCAAUCAAAUUCCGUGAUAGCUGGUUCUCUCCGAAAUGCAUUUAGGUGCAGCGUCGGUCGAUUGCGUCGCGGGGGUAGAGCUACCGGAUGCUUGCGGGCCCUUGUUGGGUACCAACAGCAGCCGAACUCCGAAUACCGUUGACGUGUAUUCCGGCAGUGAGUCGGCGGGGGAUAAGCUCCGUCGUCGAGAGGGAGACAGCCCAGACCGUCGUCUAAGGUCCCGAAGCGUGUGCUAAGUGGGAAAGGAUGUGGAGUCGCAUAGACAGCCAGGAGGUUGGCUCAGAAGCAGCCAUCCUUGAAAGAGUGCGUAACAGCUCACUGGUCUAGUGGUUCCGCGCCGACAAUGUAGCGGGGCUCAAGCACACCACCGAAGACGCGGCAGCAAUCUUCAUGGUUGCUGGGUAGGAGAGCGUCCUGCGAGGGGCGAAGCGGCCGGGUAACCGUGCCGUGGACUUCGUGGGAGUGAGAAUGCAGACAUGAGUAGCGAGAGACGGGUGAGGAUCCCGUCCGCUGGAUGACCAAGGGUUCCGGGGCCACGUUCGUCGUCCCCGGGUGAGUCGGGUCCUAAGGCGAGGCCGACAGGCGUAGUCGAAUGGAUGAACGGGUGGAUAUUCCCGUACCGACCAUGGACCGGCAAAACCGAGACGGUGAGUACUAACCUCCGCCUCGUGGUGGUUCCUUCCUUCGGGUUGGUUCCGCCGCGUGGUGUUGGGACUGUAGCCGCAGUAGGUCAGCGCAGGGGUGACACGGAAUGGGAGCCGGCCGCGGAGGUGGUUUUCCGUGGUCAAGCACGCAGCCAGUCAUGUAGGCAAAUCCGCAUGGCGCGCAUGGCGAGGUGUGAUGAUGGGAGCCGUUAUGGCUCGAUAUCCGGUUGUCCAGGCCGUCGAGAAAAGCCUCGGCGUGAGGGCCAUGGCCGCCCGUACCCCAAACCGACACUGGUGGUCAGGUAGAGAAUACCAAGGCGAUCGAGCGAAUCCUGGUCAAGGAACUCGGCAAAUCACUCCCGUGCCUUCGGUAUAAGGGAGACCCGCUGGGGUGAACCGGCUAGCCCGGGGAGCUUUGGUGGGUGGCACAGACCAGGGGGUAGCGACUGUUUACCAAAAACACAGGUGCAUGCGAAGGCGCAAGCCGCUGUAUAUGCACUGACGCCUGCCCGGUGCCGGAAGGUUAAGAGGAUCCGUCAAUCCCUUCGGGGACGAAGCGGUGAAUUCAAGCCCCGGUAAACGGCGGUGGUAACUAUAACCAUCCUAAGGUAGCGAAAUUCCUUGUCGGGUAAGUUCCGACCUGCACGAAUGGCGUAACGACUUCCCCACUGUCUCGACCAGGAGCUCGGCGAAAUUGCAGUACGAGUAAAGAUGCUCGUUAAGCGCAGAAGGACGAAAAGACCCCGGGACCUUUACUAUACCUUGGUAUUGGCGUUAGGCGCGGAUUGUGUAGCAUAGGCGGGAGGCUUCGAAGCGGGUGCGCCAGCAUUCGUGGAGCCGCAAGGUGAAAUACCGCUCUGUUCUCGUUUGACGUCUAACCUCGACAAGUCAUCCUUGUCAGGGACAGUGCCUGGCGGGUAGUUCAACUGGGGCGGUUGCCUCCCAAAGAGUAACGGAGGCGCUCAAAGGUCCGCUCAGCCCGGUUGGCAAUCGGGUGUCGAGUGUAAUCGCACAAGCGGGCUUGACUGCGAGGACGACGGUCCGAGCAGGGACGAAAGUCGGAGAUAGUGAUCCGGUGCCGGCGCACGGGCGCGGCAUCGCUCAACGGAUAAAAGGUACCCCGGGGAUAACAGGCUGAUCAUUCCCAAGAGUCCAUAUCGACGGGAUGGUUUGGCACCUCGAUGUCGGCUCGUCGCAUCCUGGGGCUGGAGCAGGUCCCAAGGGUUCGGCUGUUCGCCGAUUAAAGCGGCACGCGAGCUGGGUUCAGAACGUCGUGAGACAGUUUGGUCUCUAUCCUCUGCGCUCGUUGGAAUCCUGAGGAGGCCUGCCCAUAGUACGAGAGGACCUGGGUGGACGAACCUCUGGUAUGCCGGUUGUCGCGCCAGCGGCACGGCCGGUUGGCUACGUUCGGGAGGGAUAACCGCUGAAAGCAUCUAAGCGGGAAGCCUGCUCCAAGAUUAGGAUUCCGUACGGUCUUGAACCGUUGUAGCCCGCAUGUUGAACACGUGUUUGAUAGGCCGGAGGUGGAAGUCCCGUGAGGG